This 71-nucleotide non-coding RNA is filed under the name Schistosoma mansoni. The record is from RNAcentral. Lineage: Eukaryota; Metazoa; Platyhelminthes; Trematoda; Strigeidida; Schistosomatidae.
AUUAUAACUCCGCCUGUAGCCCCUCCGUGGGCUGCUACCGGUCCCAAGCCCGAAUAAAGGAGGAGGGUGAG